Pelobates cultripes (western spadefoot toad) is the source of this 245-nucleotide non-coding RNA. The record is from the annotation of a GenBank genome assembly. Lineage: Eukaryota; Metazoa; Chordata; Amphibia; Anura; Pelobatidae.
CAAUGAUUUAUUGAUGAGCAUUCUUACUGCUCACUUCUUGUAAGUGUGUACAAUUAAAGUGUGUCAUUUUACAUUUUAAACUUUGCUGCACUAUGUCCAGUUUUUUCUUUUGACAUGUAUUCCUGGAAUUGGAAAUUUCUGCAAAUGAACAUUUAAAGAGAUACUGAUGGGCUUGAACAACUCGUACAUCUUGUGAGUGCAUUAUUACUAUCAAGGGGCCAUUUCUUUAUUGUAUGGUGUUGCCC